RNAcentral lists this long non-coding RNA (297 nucleotides) under Elaeis guineensis (African oil palm). Its description in RNAcentral is "long non-coding RNA (EGUI_LNC060756)". The record is from RNAcentral. Lineage: Eukaryota; Viridiplantae; Streptophyta; Magnoliopsida; Arecales; Arecaceae.
CCAUGAGAAAUAUUUUUCUCUACAUUCUUUGUUAAGCAUACACAAGUAUCUUUCGAGAGGAUUGGAGAUUCUACUAUAUGUACGAGAUGGAAGAGGAAUAUACAUCUACUGGCUCAUCAUAAAUAUAUAUCUACUGGAUCGUUGCUCUUCAGAGACACUCUCUUGGAGCUUAACUUUCCUUCUACUACUUCAUCUUGGUUAAACAAUUUUUCAAGAAGAUAGCAUGUCGGGUCACAAUCACAUUGUAAUUCUUUCAGAAAGUAGUAUUCCAAACUCUUUUAGGAUGAACUUUAUAGA